GUGCACAUGAUAUCCCAUGCAAAGAAACUUUUAACUAAAGGUAUUUUGAAUGUCAUGACAUGUGCAGAAGAGCACAAAUUUUCAUCUGUUGCCAUUCCAGCAGUGAGCUCUGGAAUAUUCAACUUUCCAGUCUCAAUUUGUGCUGAUGUUGUAGUCACCACAAUCAAAAGUACAUUAAACAUAAGAACCCCACAAGUCCUCCAUUUGAAAUACACCUGGUAAACAACGAUGAUCCAACCGUGAAGGAAAUGGAAAGGGCCUUCAAAGAGAUCCUUUUGGAGCCACUCUCUGAUGUCAGGAGGACAGGGCCAGAGGAUUCUCCAUCUACUCUGGAAAGGACAGAGCACCUUGAGAGAAACACAACCGGUCUAACAAAGGACACUGCAUCACAGGUCGCAUAUUUGUGGAAACAACAGGAAACGGAAGUUGUUGUUUCUGUGGUCCCAUCUCAGAUUAGAGGUA
Molecule: long non-coding RNA, 462 nt
Organism: Oreochromis aureus
Lineage: Eukaryota; Metazoa; Chordata; Actinopteri; Cichliformes; Cichlidae
Exons: 3
Source: RefSeq, a predicted model, not a curated record